RNAcentral lists this ribosomal RNA (250 nucleotides) under uncultured bacterium. RNAcentral's name for it is "partial 16S ribosomal RNA". It matches the Rfam family "Bacterial small subunit ribosomal RNA", at positions 358 to 625 of the family's 1533-position model. The record is from RNAcentral.
GGAAUAUUGCACAAUGGGCGAAAGCCUGAUGCAGCGACGCCGCGUGAGUGAUGAAGGCCUUCGGGUCGUAAAACUCUGUGAUAAGGGAAGAUAAUGACGGUACCUUAUCAGAAAAGACCGGCUAACUUCGUGCCAGCAGCCGCGGUAAUACGAGGGGUCUAAGCGUUGUUCGGAAUCACUGGGCGUAAAGCGGGUGUAGGUGGCCAUGCAAGUUGGAUGUGAAAGCCCCGGGCUCAACCCGGGAAGUGCA